CCUACGGGAGACAGCAGUGGGGAAUAUUGCGCAAUGGGCGAAAGCCUGACGCAGCGACGCCGCGUGAGGGAUGAAGGUCUUCGGAGCGUUAACCUCUGUCAGCAGGGAAGAACGGUCACUGUGCUAAUCAGCAGUGAAUUGACGGUACCUGCAAAGGAAGCACCGGCGAAAGCCGUGCCAGCAGCCGCGGUAAUACGGAGGGUGCGUGCGUUAAUCGGAAUUACUGGGCGUAAAGCGCUCGUAGGCGGUAUGUCAAGUCAAGGGUGAAAUCCCCGGGCUCAACGUGGGAACUGCCUGUGAAACUGGCAAGCUGGAGUGUGUGAGAGGAUAGUGGAAUUCGAGGUGUAGGAGUGAAAUCCGUAGAUAUCUGGAGGAACAUCAGUGGCGAAGGCGACUAUCUGGAACAUAACUGACGCUGAGGAGCGAAAGCGUGGGUAGCAAACAGGAUUAGAUACCCCUGUAGUC
This 465-nucleotide ribosomal RNA is filed under the name uncultured bacterium. RNAcentral's name for it is "partial 16S ribosomal RNA". It matches the Rfam family "Bacterial small subunit ribosomal RNA", at positions 338 to 795 of the family's 1533-position model. The record is from RNAcentral.